RNAcentral lists this ribosomal RNA (797 nucleotides) under Solenysa tianmushana. Its description in RNAcentral is "SSU rRNA". It matches the Rfam family "Eukaryotic small subunit ribosomal RNA", at positions 984 to 1799 of the family's 1831-position model. Lineage: Eukaryota; Metazoa; Arthropoda; Arachnida; Araneae; Linyphiidae. The record is from RNAcentral. RNAcentral also lists the same sequence under 1 other name.
CGAAAGUUAGAGGUUCGAAGGCGAUCAGAUACCGCCCUAGUUCUAACCAUAAACGAUGCCAGCCAGCGAUCCGGCUGUGUUCCUCAAAUGACACGCCGGGCAGCUUCCGGGAAACCAAAGCUUUUGGGUUCCGGGGGAAGUAUGGUUGCAAAGCUGAAACUUAAAGGAAUUGACGGAGGGUCACCACCAGGCAUGGAGCUUGCGGUUCAAUUUGACUCAACGCAGCGAACUCUACCAGGCCAGGACACAGGAAGGAUUGACAGAUUGAGAGCUCUUUCUUGAUUCUGUGGGUAGUGGUGCAUGGCCGUUCUUGGUUCGUGGAGCGAUUUGUCUGGUUUAUUCUGAUAACGGACGAGGCUCUAGCCUACUAAAUAGACGCUCCGAUUCUCCUAGUCGGGCGUUUCUUCUUAGAGGGACUGGCGGCGUUUAGCCGCACGAGGCAGAGCAAUAACAGGUCUGUAAUGCCCUUAGAUGUCCUGGGCCACACGCGUGCUACAAUGAAGGAAUCAUCGUGUGCUUUCCCUGUCUGAGAGGACUGGGUAACCCGUUGAACUUCUUUCGUGCUGGGGAUAGAGAUUUGCAAUUUUCUCUCUUGAACGAGGAAUUCCUAGUAAGCGUGAGUCAUCAUCUCGCGUUGAUUAGGUCCCUGGCCCUUGUCCACACCGCCCGUCGCUAUUACCGAUUGAAUGAUUUAGUGAGGUCUUCGGACUGGCGCUCGGAUUGGCUUUCGGGUCGAGCCGACGUGCCGGAAGAUGACCGAACUUGAUUAUUUAGAGGAAAUAAAAGUCGUAACAAGG